RNAcentral lists this ribosomal RNA (586 nucleotides) under uncultured cyanobacterium. Its description in RNAcentral is "bacterial SSU rRNA". It matches the Rfam family "Bacterial small subunit ribosomal RNA", at positions 316 to 916 of the family's 1533-position model. Lineage: Bacteria; Bacillati; Cyanobacteriota. The record is from RNAcentral.
GUACUGAGACACGGACCAGACUCCUACGGGAGGCAGCAGUGGGGAAUUUUCCGCAAUGGGCGAAAGCCUGACGGAGCAACGCCGCGUGAGGGAUGAAGGCCUCUGGGCUGUAAACCUCUUUUCUCAAGGAAGAAGAUCUGACGGUACUUGAGGAAUAAGCCACGGCUAAUUCCGUGCCAGCAGCCGCGGUAAUACGGGAGUGGCAAGCGUUAUCCGGAAUUAUUGGGCGUAAAGCGUCCGCAGGCGGCCUCGUAAGUCUGUCGUUAAAGCGUGGAGCUUAACUCCAUUUCAGCGAUGGAAACUGUGAGGCUAGAGUGUGGUAGGGGCAGAGGGAAUUCCCGGUGUAGCGGUGAAAUGCGUAGAUAUCGGGAAGAACACCAGUGGCGAAGGCGCUCUGCUGGGCCAUAACUGACGCUCAUGGACGAAAGCCAGGGGAGCGAAAGGGAUUAGAUACCCCUGUAGUCCUGGCCGUAAACGAUGAACACUAGGUGUCGGGGGAAUCGACCCCCUCGGUGUCGUAGCCAACGCGUUAAGUGUUCCGCCUGGGGAGUACGCACGCAAGUGUGAAACUCAAAGGAAUUGACGG